This 677-nucleotide long non-coding RNA is filed under the name Eucalyptus grandis. RNAcentral describes it as "long non-coding RNA (EGRA_LNC000981)". The record is from RNAcentral. Lineage: Eukaryota; Viridiplantae; Streptophyta; Magnoliopsida; Myrtales; Myrtaceae.
GGACCAGCUUUUAUUCGAAGCAAGUCAUUACAACAGAACCGAACUCGUUGGAGAUUCUAAGUUUCACUCCUCGAAUGGCUCGUAGAAGAUUCCACGAAGCAAAAGCAGGUGAGCUUACAAACUUGAUUCCUUUAUUCCAAGAUUCAUUGCAAAUUUCGGUCUGAUUUGAGCCUCUUCCUUUGAGACACCCCAUGCGCCCCGAUGUUCGAUGAAAUGCCUGAAUCGGUCUUUCUGCCUUUAACAAUGGAUGAUUUCAAGCUUCUGAUGUGAUUAUACCAUUGUCCAGGUCUUCAGUAUAUCGAAUCCAUUGAUGCUGAUAAGUUGUUGAGCAAAAUAGGAAUUGCAGUUGUUGGGUUUGCAGAAGACUUGGAAUAUGUGGAGUUUGAUGCACGUUGAAGGUGAGAGAAGAGAUGUCGCUAAAGGGAGAAGUUGCGUUGCUGGAGGGUUGGACAAAAAGUUGGUGAUUGCGGAGUCCUGGUGAGGAAGAUGUCGCAAAGAAUAUGAAUCAGUUGGUAAUAAUAUUAGCUAGAGACUUAUGAGGAGUUGAAGUGUUAUUACUAGGACAAGAGUGCACAAUAAUCAUACAGGCAUAACAUUGACAACGGUUGCGACCCUAACUUCUAGGAGCAAAUCAGAAAGGAUGUAGGCUGUCUGCUGAAAAGAGUCCUAAGAAGCUA